Molecule: non-coding RNA, 76 nt
Organism: Megalops atlanticus (tarpon)
Lineage: Eukaryota; Metazoa; Chordata; Actinopteri; Elopiformes; Megalopidae
Source: the annotation of a GenBank genome assembly
UCCUAGGUAGCUCAGUGGUUAAAGCACUCAUCUUGAGCGUGAGAUCUACAGCCUAGGUUCAAUCCCAGCUGUGUCA